UACGGAAGGAGCAGUGGGGAAUAUUGCACAAUGGGCGAAAGCCUGAUGCAGCUAUGCCGCGUGUAUGAAGAAGGCCUUAGGGUUGUAAAGUACUUUCAUCGGGGAGGAAAAACAAAACUAAUAAUUUUAUUUCUUGACGUUACCCGAAAAAGAAGCACCGGCUAACUCCGUGCCAGCAGCCGCGGUAAUACGGAGGGUGCUAGCGUUAAUCAGAAUUACUGGGCGUAAAGAGCACGUAGGUGGUUUUUUUAAGUCAGAUGUGAAAUCCCUGGGCUUAACCUAGGAACUGCAUUUUGAAACUGAAAUACUAGAGUAUCGUAGAGGGAGGUAGAAUUCUAGGUGUAGCGGUGAAAUGCGUAGAUAUCUGGAGGAAUACCUGUGGCGAAAGCGGCCUCCUAAACGAAUACUGACACUGAGGUGCGAAAGCGUGGGGAGCAAACAGGGAUUAGAUACC
RNAcentral lists this ribosomal RNA (454 nucleotides) under uncultured bacterium. RNAcentral's name for it is "bacterial SSU rRNA". It matches the Rfam family "Bacterial small subunit ribosomal RNA", at positions 340 to 786 of the family's 1533-position model. The record is from RNAcentral.